Cavia porcellus (domestic guinea pig) is the source of this 1403-nucleotide long non-coding RNA. RefSeq lists it as uncharacterized. The record is from RefSeq and is a predicted model, not a curated record. The transcript has 2 exons. Lineage: Eukaryota; Metazoa; Chordata; Mammalia; Rodentia; Caviidae.
AUGAACCAAGGUCACAAAGAUGUUACGUGGAAAAUACAAGCUUGAAACUAUUGCACUUCAAAAGUCACGCUCUUAAAAUUGUGUAAGGGAAAAGAAAUCCACUGCACAUCAAGAGACCUGAAAGAAGAAAAGUGAGGGACAUGACGGCGUGGCGGGGGCCCUGCUGCCUUUUAAUGCCUUAAAGGCGCGGAUCAAACUGGUGGUGGUGGAGGUCAUCUCACUCGGGAGAUAUCCCUAAUGCGUAAGUUCAGAAUUCCCUGUCGCAUCCUGGGAGAGUCUCUCUCCCGCUAAAAGAUGGUCAAGAGCCAAAGAGCUCAAGCCCACAACAAGGAGCGUCUUCCUCCACAAGAAGUUGUGGGUCCCCUGCCGAUUGAUGUAGGAGUCUCCACCGACGUUGGAUUUGGAGAACCCGUUUUCCCCUAGCGAGGAGAGGCCUGGUCUGCCUCUCUAUGGGUCGUUCUGCCGCCCGCAACAGCGCAGCCUCCGUUCCCUUCCUCGCCCCCGGAGGGGGGGGGGCGCCAAUGGGCUCCCCUUUAGCCAGCACCGCCCGACGGAGGGUCCCAUCAGGGUUUUGCGGAGCCAGCCAGCUAUGCCGGAAGCCUUCUGACCCCUAGGCUCUUACCCUGAGACCUGCUCCGCGGCCUGCGCUUGCCCCUCCAGCUUGGUCUCUGCAGACGCAGCCCGAUCGCCGCCAACUCUACCUGAGCCUACGAAGCCCAAAGCCCGUGGGCGCUCCGGCCACUACCGCCUCUCCGUCUCUAUGGUCCUCCCGCACUUCCUCAUCCGGGGCCCGACUCAGCCAUGCGGAGUUGCCCAAAUACCGCCCCCGGACCGCACGCGCGCGCACGCGCGCGCGCACUCCAAGGGGAAGCUCUUCCCACGAGGGACCUCCCGCCCUCCGCUAACCACAGCAGCCCUUCACCCCGCCCCUGUGGUUCAGACUCUUAAAGGAAACACACCUUGGGUUGGGCUAACACUGAGGCCCAGGGUCCAGUUCCUUUGCUAACAAUCCUGUUUACUCCCUAUUUUUCUGAUCUGGACGUGCGCUGUUCUAGGAGGCACUCCUGCUUCCACUCUGGAAGCUCAAGAGGCCUUCUAAUAAAUGGAAUAAGUAUUAUAAGUCAUAUCACUAACCUCUAAUAACACCGACCCUAAAUCUAAAUGAUACCUCUGCUCCUAAUUGGUUACAACGCUUUAUUUUCAUUUCUUCACCGAUUUAAUACUAGAUGGAAAUGUUUCAUCACUUGAUUUUUUUACCAUCUGUUCCUUUCCACCUCUGCCUUAUAGCGCCUAACACAGUGUCUAGCAGACAUCUGAAGAAAAAACCCCAGAAGGGAAUUGAGGAUGUUAAAAAAUGCAAUCCAUUUCCCCCAAAUCACAUAGAUAAAUGAUAAAAAUAGAAA